This 262-nucleotide ribosomal RNA is filed under the name uncultured bacterium. RNAcentral's name for it is "partial 16S ribosomal RNA". It matches the Rfam family "Bacterial small subunit ribosomal RNA", at positions 91 to 354 of the family's 1533-position model. The record is from RNAcentral.
CGAACCGGCGCACGGGUGAGUAACACGUAUGCAACCUGGCCCGUCUCAGGGGGAUAAUCGUCGGAAACGGCGUCUAAUACCCCGUAUGAAGCUGGACGGCAUCGUCUGGUUUUGAAAGAAUAUCGGAGACGGAUGGGCAUGCGGCGCAUUAGCUAGUUGGCGGGGUAACGGCCCACCAAGGCGACGAUGCGUAGGGGUUCUGAGAGGAAGGUCCCCCACACUGGUACUGAGACACGGACCAGACUCCUACGGAAGGCAGCAG